GUGAAGAGUUUGAUCCUGGCUCAGAGUGAACGCUGGCGGCAGGCCUAACACAUGCAAGUCGAACGGCAGCACAGUAAGAGCUUGCUCUUAUGGGUGGCGAGUGGCGGACGGGUGAGGAAUACAUCGGAAUCUACUCUUUCGUGGGGGAUAACGUAGGGAAACUUACGCUAAUACCGCAUACGACCUACGGGUGAAAGCGGAGGACCUUCGGGCUUCGCGCGAUUGAAUGAGCCGAUGUCGGAUUAGCUAGUUGGCGGGGUAAAGGCCCACCAAGGCGACGAUCCGUAGCUGGUCUGAGAGGAUGAUCAGCCACACUGGAACUGAGACACGGUCCAGACUCCUACGGGAGGCAGCAGUGGGGAAUAUUGCACAAUGGGCGGAAGCCUGAUGCAGCAACGCCGCGUGCGGGAUGACGGCCUUCGGGUUGUAAACCGCUUUCGCCUGUGACGAAGCGUGAGUGACGGUAAUGGGUAAAGAAGCACCGGCUAACUACGUGCCAGCAGCCGCGG
This 509-nucleotide ribosomal RNA is filed under the name Aurantiochytrium limacinum. RNAcentral describes it as "partial Bacterial small subunit ribosomal RNA". It matches the Rfam family "Bacterial small subunit ribosomal RNA", at positions 1 to 520 of the family's 1533-position model. Lineage: Eukaryota; Bigyra; Thraustochytrida; Thraustochytriidae. The record is from RNAcentral.